RNAcentral lists this ribosomal RNA (255 nucleotides) under uncultured bacterium. RNAcentral describes it as "partial 16S ribosomal RNA". It matches the Rfam family "Bacterial small subunit ribosomal RNA", at positions 524 to 776 of the family's 1533-position model. The record is from RNAcentral.
UACGUAGGGUCCGAGCGUUAAUCGGAAUUACUGGGCGUAAAGCGUGCGCAGGUGGUUUUGUAAGCCAGAUGUGAAAAUCCCCCGGGCUUAACCUGGGAACUGCAUUUGGUACUGCAAGGCUAGAGUACGGCAGAGGGAGGUGGAAUUCCAGGUGUAGCAGUGAAAUGCGUAGAGAUCUGGAGGAACACCAAUGGCGAAGGCAGCCUCCUGGGCUAGUACUGAUGCUCAUGCACGAAAGCGUGGGGAGCAAACAGG